CCUACGGGAGGCAGCAGUGAGGAAUAUUGGUCAAUGGACGAGAGUCUGAACCAGCCAAGUAGCGUGAAGGAUGACUGCCCUAUGGGUUGUAAACUUCUUUUAUAAAGGAAUAAAACGAGGCACGUGUGCCUUUUUGCAUUUACUUUAUGAAUAAGGAUCGGCUAACUCUGUGCCAGCAGCCGCGGUAAUACGGAGGAUCCGAGCGUUAUCCGGAUUUAUUGGGUUUAAAGGGAGCGUAGAUGGGUUGUUAAGUCAGUUGUGAAAGUGUGCGGCUCAACCGGAAAAUUGCAAUUGAUACUGGCAGUCUAGAGUACAGUUGAGGUAGGCGGAAUUCGUGGUGUAGCGGUGAAAUGCUUAGAUAUCACGAAGAACCCCGAUUGCGAAGGCAGCUUACUAAACUGUGACUGACAUUGAUGCUCGAAAGUGUGGGUAUCAAACAGGAUUAGAUACCCGGGUAGUC
This 460-nucleotide ribosomal RNA is filed under the name uncultured bacterium. Its description in RNAcentral is "partial 16S ribosomal RNA". It matches the Rfam family "Bacterial small subunit ribosomal RNA", at positions 338 to 795 of the family's 1533-position model. The record is from RNAcentral.